Long non-coding RNA from Rana temporaria (common frog), 2537 nucleotides. RefSeq lists it as uncharacterized. NCBI's taxonomy places the organism in Eukaryota, Metazoa, Chordata, Amphibia, Anura, Ranidae. The transcript has 2 exons. The record is from RefSeq and is a predicted model, not a curated record.
GAUGUCAAGGGUUAAUAACAGUAACACAUUGAUUGCAUAAAUAUUGCUGUGUAUGUAAGAUUGUCAUGUGUAAGUCUUGUGAUGACUAUAUAUAGUAAUGGCCAGUUUCAAACGGAUGAUCACGAGUGUUUAAGAUUAGGCAAGAAGUAACGACAGCUUUGCUAGCAGCAACGCCCGAAGGGGCGUCCGCCCAGUAACAGUGUAUUAACCAAUGAUAAUAAGACAUGUAUAUGCAUUUCCUUCUGUUGUGAAUGCCCUAUAAAAGGGAAAGCCCGCGUCAUAAAGAGCAGAAUGAUUUUUAACCUAUUACCGUGUCAGUCUCAUUACUGCAAGGGCUAAAUUCAUUCUCCUGGUACCAAAGGGGACAUCGUAACUAAGGAAAACACCCAACAUGGAUCCAUGCCACCAGAGUGAAAUUGGUCCCCAGAGCAAGACUGAGAGCAGAACCGGUCAAUGCAGAUGACCAAAACGAAGGGGAAAGCCCAAUCCUCCAACAAGGGGUACUAACAGGAGCAAAUGACUCCGACCUCCCACAAAUUGGAUCUGAGGUAAUAACGAGGGCUGACAGCCCAGGCCUCCGACAAGAUGACAUCGCUUAUUUCACCACAGACUUCUGGGAAAGCCUUGUGCCUCCUAUUUUGGACUGUCCUAAUCGUAUUCCUGCCAGUUUGGCUGAUAACUAACUGUAUCUAUCACCCUGAAGAUUUGGGACAUAUAAAGAGCAUUUGUGGAAAUCCAACACUCCACAACAGGACAAUACCAAUAACACACAUGAUAGACACAAGAGAAAUGAGAACUCAGAGGGUUUUACAGACAAAAUGCUAUUAUUAAAGUUUAAAUAUGUCUAUGCCCAGAAAUCUGGAUAUGAAAAAUGUAGGAUAUGUAGUAAGCUCCAUCCUAGCACUACUAGGAUUCCCCUAAUGGCAGUACCUCGAAACUUCACCCCUUUCCUUAAUAACAUACCUCCCCUCGUCCUUACCAAUAUCACAAGAAUGUUUUCAAAUGAUACCCCUACUUUUCAAAUCAUGAGUAGAAGUUAUUUCCCAGACUGGUGUUUUAGGUUAGGGGUCUCCACAAAAGGGGCUGAAGUUUGCCAACAAGCUAAAAUUAACUUUUCAAUGACUUCAAUUGAAAGCCCUUUCUUUCACACCUAAACAUCACUCUAAUGAACUUUCUUAGCUCCAGUUCCACCUCCCCAGUGGGCCAGUUAUUGGCGAGUUUAACCUUUUCCAGUCUUUGACAAAAUGAUGUCAAUAUUCAACAAGCGACCCUUAGCUUUAGGGAACAAUAUUUACAUCUGUUGUGGGAAAACAUGCCAUCCAUGGAUUCCCAUAGAUCCUCAGGGAUGGUGUUACCUUGCAUCACUGAUCCCUAUAAUGGGUGUGUUAGGGAAUGAUAAGGGAAGACAUCUAUUAGAGGCCAGCAUGCACCCCAGAUAUCCCCUUUAGUAUCGUGGGAAACGGGAUUUGUUCCAGGAGAAAGAUAUGGCUUGGGCAUGGUUCCCCUCAUGGAGUGGGUGGGGGAUAGACUUAAUGAAAAGGUUGAAUAAAUAUGCUGGAAUUAUUGAUGAAAUAAUGGAGAAGAACUCUGAUGAUAUUACUAAAUUAAAUAUAGAAACUAGAGCAAUUAGGGAGCAAUUGUUAUUGUGAAAAAUACAAUUAGUACUACAAUGACAAUUAGAAUUGAGGAAGAUCACCCCAGGGAAGAGAUAGAGUGUUAUCAGAUUGUCAGAUUAGCAGAUUCGUAUGAUGCCAAGACGGGUGAUAUGAAUGAGUAAAAGAUAUGUAUCCACAUACACCUUAAGAAGAUCUUUGCUCCACAUAGAUGUGAAGUAGUACUGUGGACCCUUUGGUGUCAUACUAGGUAGAGAAGAUAUGGUAGUGACCCCGCAAUAGGGUACUGAUAAUGUUGAGAUAUAUAUAUAUAUCUAUAAAGAAGUAAGCAAAUUACAAAUGUACUAUUAAGCUAGGAAUAUUGCCAAAACCUGGGAUCUUUUUGCAAACUUAAGUUUUGAGCAGGAAUGCUGACAUGGUUAAAAAGUGCUGCCCUAGCCAUCUUUAUGAUUAUUCUUAUAUGCUUGUUAUAGGCUCAUAAUGUGCAUAGUUGUUAAAAUGUCCCAAAUACCCGACCCAGCAGCUGCGAAUAGAAUUUAUCUGAAUAUGUAUCAUGAUAAAAGAAGGAUGGAGAAGGAGAACCACAUAAUUUAGAAUUAUUUGGAUUCUAAGAGGGGAUUGGAGGGAUGUCAAUGGUUAAUAACAGUAACACAUUGAUUGCAUAAAUAUUGCUGUGUAUUGUCAUGUGUAAGUCUUGUGAUGACUAUAUAUAGUAAUGGCCAGUUUCAAACGGAUGAUCACGAGUGUUUAAGAUUAGGCAAGAAGUAACGACAGCUUUGCUAGCAGCAACGCCCGAAGGGGCGUCCGCCCAGUAACAGUGUAUUAACCAAUGAUAAUAAGACAUGUAUAUGCAUUUCCUUCUGUUGUGAAUGCCCUAUAAAAGGGAAAGCCCACGUCAAAAAGAGCAGAAUGAUUUUUAACCUA